UUCCGGUUGAUCCCGCCGGACCUGACUGCUAUCGGAUUGAUACUAAGCCAUGCGAGUCUUUGCAGUAAUGCAAGGCAUACGGCUCAGUAACACGUAGUCAACCUACCCUAUGGACGAGAAUAAUCUCGGGAAACUGAGCAUAAUUCUUGAUAGAUCAUAAUGCCUGGAAUGGUUUAUGGUUAAAAUGAUUCGUCGCCAUAGGAUGGGACUGCGGCCUAUCAGCUUGUUGGUGAGGUAAUGGCCCACCAAGGCGAUUACAGGUACGGGCUCUGAGAGGAGAAGCCCGGAGAUGGGUACUGAGACACGGACCCAGGCCCUAUGGGGCGCAGCAGGCGAGAAAACUUUGCAAUGUGCGAAAGCACGACAAGGUUAAUCCGAGUGAUUUCUGCUAAAGAAAUCUUUUACCAGUCGUAAAACCGCUGGUGAAUAAGGGGUGGGCAAGUUCUGGUGUCAGCCGCCGCGGUAAAACCAGCACCUCAAGUGGUCAGGAUGAUUAUUGGGCCUAAAGCAUCCGUAGCCUGCUUUGUAAGUUUUCGGUUAAAUCCAUGUGCUCAACGCAUGGGCUGCCGAAAAUACUGCAUAGCUAGGGAGUGGGAGAGGUAGACGGUACUCGGUAGGUAGGGGUAAAAUCCUUUGAUCUGUUGAUGACCACCUGUGGCGAAGGCGGUCUACCAGAACACGUUCGACGGUGAGGGAUGAAAGCUGGGGGAGCAAACCGGAUUAGAUACCCGGGUAGUCCCAGCUGUAAACGAUGCAGACUUGAUGAUGCAUUGGCAUGAUAGCCAUUGCAGUGUCGCAGGGAAGCCGUUAAGUCUGCCGCCUGGGAAGUACGUACGCAAGUAUGAAACUUAAAGGAAUUGGCGGGGGAGCACCACAAGGGGUGAAGCCUGCGGUUCAAUUGGAAUCAACGCCGGA
Molecule: ribosomal RNA, 915 nt
Filed under: uncultured archaeon
Lineage: Archaea
Description: bacterial SSU rRNA
Rfam family: Archaeal small subunit ribosomal RNA
Source: RNAcentral